GCCAGACUCCUACGGGAGGCAGCAGUGGGGAAUAUUGGACAAUGGGGGGAACCCUGAUCCAGCGACGCCGCGUGAGUGAAGAAGUAUUUCGGUAUGUAAAGCUCUAUCAGCAGGGAAGAAAGAAAUGACGGUACCUGACUAAGAAGCCCCGGCUAACUACGUGCCAGCAGCCGCGGUAAUACGUAGGGGGCAAGCGUUAUCCGGAUUUACUGGGUGUAAAGGGAGCGUAGACGGCGAUGCAAGUCUGAAGUGAAAGGCGGGGGCCCAACCCCUGGACUGCUUUGGAAACUGUAUGGCUGGAGUGCAGCAGAGGUAAGUGGAAUUCCUGGUGUAGCGGUGAAAUGCGUAGAUAUUAGGAGGGACACCAGUGGCGAAGGCGGCCUGCUGGACUGCAACUGACGUUGAGGCUCGAAGGCGUGUGGAGCAGACAGGAUUAGAUACCCUUGUA
This 448-nucleotide ribosomal RNA is filed under the name uncultured bacterium. Its description in RNAcentral is "bacterial SSU rRNA". It matches the Rfam family "Bacterial small subunit ribosomal RNA", at positions 330 to 792 of the family's 1533-position model. The record is from RNAcentral.